GCUGCAGCUUCUGAGACCGAUCGAGGGAAGGGUGUCGCGAGCUAGAGCCCAACCUGAUUAGUCGCCGUGCUAGAGGAUCCCCAGUUGCAGAUUGAAGUGGAGAGCUCGUGGAGGCCACAGUUGAGCUUGGAGCGACGUCAACUUCGCGCCGGCGAUCUGUUGGAGCGUGUGUGCGUCGUGGUAGUGCCGUUGGAGGCCGAGCGAGCAUGGAAAGUUCUUCUCCUAUCGACUUUUCACUGUUCUGGAUUAGCUUUUGAGAGCCUUCUGUUCCGGCGGCUGCAGCUUCUGAGACCGAUCGAGGGAAGGGUGUCGCGAGCUAGAGCCCUACCUGACUAGUCGCCGUGCUAGAGGAUCCCCAGUUGCAGGUAGUAGAGUUUUAUUUUUCGAUAUUAUGUACAUACUGAUACUGAACUCGCUGGAGCGAGUGGUUUGUACUUUGUAUAGUAUGUAUACAUUUGAGAUGCUUUCUUUUUGGUUCU
Molecule: long non-coding RNA, 479 nt
Organism: Ananas comosus (pineapple)
Lineage: Eukaryota; Viridiplantae; Streptophyta; Magnoliopsida; Poales; Bromeliaceae
Exons: 3
Source: RefSeq, a predicted model, not a curated record